UGGGGAAUAUUGCACAAUGGGGGAAACCCUGAUGCAGCGACGCCGCGUGAGCGAAGAAGGUUUUCGAAUCGUAAAGCUCUGUCCUAUGAGAAGAUAAUGACGGUAUCAUAGGAGGAAGCCCCGGCUAAAUACGUGCCAGCAGCCGCGGUAAUACGUAUGGGGCGAGCGUUGUCCGGAAUUAUUGGGCGUAAAGGGUACGUAGGCGGUCUAUUAAGUCAGGUGUGAAAGCGUGAGGCUUAACCUCAUUAAGCACUUGAACUGAUAGACUUGAGUGAAGGAGAGGAAAGUGGAAUUCCUAGUGUAGCGGUGAAAUGCGUAGAUAUUAGGAGGAAUACCGGUGGCGAAGGCGACUUUCUGGACUUUUACUGACGCUCAGGUACGAAAGCGUGGGGAGCAAACAGG
This 402-nucleotide ribosomal RNA is filed under the name Verrucomicrobiota bacterium. Its description in RNAcentral is "Verrucomicrobia bacterium partial 16S ribosomal RNA". It matches the Rfam family "Bacterial small subunit ribosomal RNA", at positions 355 to 776 of the family's 1533-position model. The record is from RNAcentral. Lineage: Bacteria; Pseudomonadati; Verrucomicrobiota.